RNAcentral lists this long non-coding RNA (1262 nucleotides) under Sus scrofa (pig). RNAcentral's name for it is "lncRNA (ENSSSCG00005009193.1)". Lineage: Eukaryota; Metazoa; Chordata; Mammalia; Artiodactyla; Suidae. The record is from RNAcentral.
GAGAAGCCAGCCUCUGCGUGUGCUCUCACCCCGUCCUCUGAGUCGCCCUGGCAAGUAGGAUGGAUAAAGGGCUGCCAGCCCCUAGGACCCAGCUCUCAAGUAGAGGGAUGCCAGUGGAGUCCUUGUUAGACCACAGAUAACCUAGAAGGCCACCUGCUCUGGAGUUAGCUCCGUCUUUCUUUACUGAAGAAACGUGGCUGAGGCUAAGAGGGAAGAAAGGAAGGUCCAGGAGAGUGUCGUAAGUGGAGCCUCAGAAACCACAGGUGGAUUGGCUUCUGCUCCGUGGGGUCUUGCGGACCCAUCUGGGUCUUUGCGGCCGUCUAGGUGCUUAGUGCCUAUUUGGUGAUGUUUUGGCCAUUUCUAAGGGAAGGGGUGAGCCAGCUGAUGGGUGGGAGGGUCUGAGGCUUGAUGCCAGUGAAUACUGUCAAGUGGAGCAUGUGGUUUGUGGGGUUCAGAGGGAAGGAAGGGUGGGGCCAAACGGACGGUUGUCUCCUGGACUGGAUUUGCGUUCUGGCCUUACUGGCGGUGGGUGGCCGGCAGGCUGUGGUGGCCAGCUGGCCUUGUCCUCCUCACCCUGGCAGGUUCAACCCGCCCAAACACCAGAGCUGUCCUUACCAAAUUGGAAAGGAAAGUGCAAGUGUUCCUUUCUUUAGCCAAAGAACCCUUCUAGGAGACACCCCCACGUGCGGACAGAACGGCUUCCUUUCUGGGCAAUAAUGACUUCAUCAGUGAGUGAUGCCAUCCCAUUUGUCUUUCUCUUUCCCCUCUCUCCUGACUUGGCUUUUCGUUUUGUCUGGAGUUUUUGUUGUCGUUGCUUUUUUUUCUUUCAAAACUGAGCUCAUCUUGUGAGAGGAGUCGAGGUCAGUCGCCCUAAAUACUGCUGCUCUUGAGAAGCACAGCACGGAUCUGGGGGCUUAGCUCAUCUCAUGUUUCCCAGGAGAGUCAGACCUUCUGCCCAGAGGUGCUUUGGGGUUCACUUGCACACUGGCGCCGGGCUUGGGGUGUGGGUACAUUUCCGCUUUGAUGCCUUAGACUCACUUCUGGUCUCUGGACUCAGCCGAGAACAGGAGAUGGCGAAAUGACAUGUAAAUGCAAUCGAGACCUCUCAAAGGCCCUUGGUGCCCUCGCUCCCUGGAGUGAGCCAUCCUAAGAGAGGCCUCUCCCAUCGUUCUUGCAACUUCCAGGAGUCCGAGAGGGCCAGCUCCAAACCAGUUCCUCCCGCAAGACUCAGUGCGCGCUUACAGAGCAGUGACCCUCCCGAG